Molecule: long non-coding RNA, 1012 nt
Organism: Homo sapiens (human)
Lineage: Eukaryota; Metazoa; Chordata; Mammalia; Primates; Hominidae
Product: long intergenic non-protein coding RNA 1255
Source: Ensembl
GGUAUAUCCAGGACAUCAGCACAUAGAACCAGUGAAAGGGUCCUCCCUCAUAGUGACGCAUGUCAUAGACUCAGAUUUAUACAAACAAAUGCUGAGCAAACCAUGAAGAGUCUCUGGUAUUUUCAACAAUAUCAUCACAGAGGAACUGUAUUGAUUUCCUUCCUUCAGUGGUCCAAGAACCUGCUGCUCCCGGGUCCUCUCAUUUGAAGACACCCACCGCCUAAGGAUGAAGAGAAGCUCCUUCUUGCAGAUCUGAGGCUGAUUUCCCAACUCCCAGGAACACCCUACCCACAGCCUGUUCCCCAGACCCAGGAAUUCUUGACCAAGACUACAAAUGUAGCCCAUUUGACAUCGAAAACAUUGGGACAGGUGUGAGAGUGAGGAAAAUGGGGAGAAAAAAGAACUUUGAAGACAAGGAUUUGAAGUUAGCAUGAAGCAUGGAAAGGAGGAAGGGCAAGCUUUCUGCAGUGAGGACAGUGCCUGCCAGAGAAAACCAGAUCCUGGGGAGGGGUUUCUCCAGAAAGAGAAAGUCAAAGCUGCAGAUGGGGUUUGCAGGAGCAAUGGCUGUAGGGACACUAAGAUUUCACCCUCCAGAAGACAGCAUCUUCCUGUGCCAUGGCUAGAUCACCAGCUACCCACAGACAGCCUGAACUCCAAUUGUCUUCCUGCACAUGUGCCUUUAAAGGAACUUUUCAAAUGUAGAGGAGCCUUUAGAAGGAAGCCUUGAGCAUGAGGACAGACCCCCCUCAUCCAACCACCACCUGACUCUGUGUGAACCUGGAACUGUUAGAAUGUCUGUGCUGUGAUAAAAGGUCAUCUCCCUACAAUGUUAUGAUACAGACCUCAAACCUACAAACAUGAGGAACUUCUGCCUCCAGGUUAACUGCUUACCCACUGUACAAGACACGUUACACACAGUCCAGGAGGCGGAGCUUCUGAGAUAUCUAGAAACAGCUUAGAGGCAAAAUGACAAAAUAAAGCAGCAACAACAAAUAAAACCAAUCUUCUCGAA